CUACGUGCCAGCAGCCGCGGUAAUACGUAGGGUCCGAGCGUUGUCCGGAAUUACUGGGCGUAAAGAGCUCGUAGGUGGUUUGUCGCGUUGUUCGUGAAAACUCACAGCUUAACUGUGGGCGUGCGGGCGAUACGGGCAGACUUGAGUACUGCAGGGGAGACUGGAAUUCCUGGUGUAGCGGUGGAAUGCGCAGAUAUCAGGAGGAACACCGGUGGCGAAGGCGGGUCUCUGGGCAGUAACUGACGCUGAGGAGCGAAAGCGUGGGGAGCGAACAGGAUUAGAUACCCUGGUAGUCCACGCCGUAAACGGUGGGUACUAGGUGUGGGUUUCCUUCCUUGGGAUCCGUGCCGUAGCUAACGCAUUAAGUACCCCGCCUGGGGAGUACGGCCGCAAGGCUAAAACUCAAAGAAAUUGACGGGGGCCCGCACAAGCGGCGGAGCAUGUGGAUUAAUUCGAUGCAACGCGAAGAACCUUACCUGGGUUUGACAUGCACAGGACGACUGCAGAGAUGUGGUUUCCCUUGUGGCCUGUGUGCAGGUGGUGCAUGGCUGUCGUCAGCUCGUGUCGUGAGAUGUUGGGUUAAGUCCCGCAACGAGCGCAACCCUUGUCCUAUGUUGCCAGCGGGUUAUGCCGGGGACUCGUAGGAGACUGCCGGGGUCAACUCGGAGGAAGGUGGGGAUGACGUCAAGUCAUCAUGCCCCUUAUGUCCAGGGCUUCACACAUGCUACAAUGGCCGGUACAAAGGGCUGCGAUGCCGUGAGGUGGAGCGAAUCCUUUCAAAGCCGGUCUCAGUUCGGAUCGGGGUCUGCAACUCGACCCCGUGAAGUCGGAGUCGCUAGUAAUCGCAGAUCAGCAACGCUGCGGUGAAUACGUUCCCGGGCCUUGUACACACCGCCCGUC
Molecule: ribosomal RNA, 900 nt
Filed under: Mycobacterium sp.
Lineage: Bacteria; Bacillati; Actinomycetota; Actinomycetes; Mycobacteriales; Mycobacteriaceae
Description: bacterial SSU rRNA
Rfam family: Bacterial small subunit ribosomal RNA
Source: RNAcentral